RNAcentral lists this long non-coding RNA (365 nucleotides) under Olea europaea (common olive). RNAcentral's name for it is "long non-coding RNA (OEUR_LNC014730)". Lineage: Eukaryota; Viridiplantae; Streptophyta; Magnoliopsida; Lamiales; Oleaceae. The record is from RNAcentral.
UCCAACUUUCACUCAGAAAUACACCACAUAUCAUUGAUCUAAAGUAUCACAUAAAGAUUACAACAUCUAAACACUUAGAUCACUGAAUAUGUGAAACCCUAAUGAGGAAUCAGGUUCUCUCUCUAAAAGGCAGAGGAAUAGAUGAACAACUGAAGAGACCUACCCAAACUCAAGCGUCAAUAGGUGAUAUAAAUCAGAAGAGCCUGGAAGCCACAUCCAAUGAUUAUGAAGGAGUCAGGUGUCAUCAAUCCAACCGUAGGCAAUCACUUAAAGAAGUGGUAUUUGAUAAAACACGCUUUUAGUGAAACACACUUUCGCUUCAUUUGAUCCAAGGUUUGAAUCACAAAACAACCCGACUACUAUAC